AACGAACGCUGGCGGCAUGCCUAACACAUGCCAGUCGAACGAGACCUUCGGGUCUAGUGGCGCACGGGUGCGUAACGCGUGGGAACCUGCCCUUAGGUUCGGAAUAACUCCCCGAAAGGGGUGCUAAUACCGGAUAAUGUCUUCGGACCAAAGAUUUAUCGCCUUUGGAUGGGCCCGCGUUGGAUUAGCUGGUUGGUAGGGUAAAAGCCUACCAAGGCGACGAUCCAUAGCUGGUCUGAGAGGAGGAUCAGCCACACUGGGACUGAGACACGGCCCAGACUCCUACGGGAGGCAGCAGUGGGGAAUAUUGGACGAUGGGCGAAAGCCUGAUCCAGCAAUGCCGCGUGAGUGAUGAAGGCCUUAGGGUUGUAAAGCUCUUUUACCCGGGAUGAUAAUGACAGUACCGGGAGAAUAAGCUCCGGCUAACUCCGUG
Molecule: ribosomal RNA, 433 nt
Filed under: uncultured bacterium
Lineage: Bacteria
Description: partial 16S ribosomal RNA
Rfam family: Bacterial small subunit ribosomal RNA
Source: RNAcentral